RNAcentral lists this ribosomal RNA (118 nucleotides) under Pteropus alecto (black flying fox). The record is from RNAcentral. Lineage: Eukaryota; Metazoa; Chordata; Mammalia; Chiroptera; Pteropodidae.
GUCUAUGGCCAUGCUACCCUGAACACGCCCGAUCCUGUCUGAUCUCGGAAGCUAAGCAGGGUCAGGCCUGGUUAGUACUUGGAUGGGAGACCACCUAGGAAGACCAGGUGCAUAAAAA